GGAAAAGUUUGGGAACCUCUGCUGUAGAUCAUGUGUUGUUCAUUCAUAAUGUUUUUGUCAUUUUUUCACAAAAAUCAAACUUGAUCUGCGAUUGUGCGCGCAACACUGAAAAGUCACAUGACCAAAGUUAGCAACCACGAUUGAUCAGCUUAAGCUCCGCCCAUGUCGUAUUGACUGACGACCUGUUUGUAAAUCAGUAAAAAUCAGGAUGUUCUCAUGGCAUGUUCUGACACAGAGAUAAGCGUGUGUGUGAAUUUAAGUAGCGUAGCAUAUCAUAGCAUAGCGUAGCAUAGCAUCUCGCCUACCAGAGUGUCCAGGAUGGACAGAUGGACAUCCAGCAUGAACAUUCUGACAGGCUGAGCUAGGGCUCUCUGCAGGCUGUACACCGGCUUCAUCUCCGUUCCUCCAAUCAGUUCUUCAUCCUUCAGGCCUGCUGUGAUUUAUCCUCCUACUGUUUAUUGCUCUUCUCUUCUCUCUUUCUCUCACCGUCUUCCCUUCUUAUGCAUUAAGUUAUAAAUAAAACGAAAAACAAACAAGACUACAAGGCUUUGCUUCCUUCUCUCUCUUCUCUCACCUUGCUACUACUGUAACAGGUGGCAAGCUGAGGCUUGUCUAAUGCACUGUAAUGCGCUCUCUCUCACACACACAUACACACACACCCUCUAUGAAUAAAAGGUUUCCAGGAAUGCGGAGAUGUGGAAAGAAGCAGGUAUUCAUAACACACACACACACACACACACACACACACACACACAAACAAAGUGUGUGAGAGUACUUCUAGACACAAUUCAAUAAAAUAAAUAAAGAAAAGAAAACAAUUUUGUACCAUUUUAUGAGCUUGUACUUGAUUUUGUGGGGUCUAACUGUGUGUGUGUGUGUGUGUGUGUGUGUGUGUGUGUGUGUGUGUGUGUUUCCAGUUGUUCCAAACCCUGAUGUAAACACAGGACAGAAAUAGAGGUCAGAUGCCUGUUUACAGUCCAAGGAUUUAGCAUUUAGCCUUUAAAGCAUACCCUUAAGAAUUUAGCUAGAUAUUUUCUUUACACGAAAACAUCAUAAAGUCAUUCUCACAAAUAAAAUGACGUGAAUCCUAUAAACAUGUCCACUUUAAACAACAUUCCAGCAAAGGAUUAAGAAAACUAAAGCCAGCUCGCUUCCAACAGAUUCUGAGAUAAGAAACAAAUGAACAAAGUUUUGCUAUUGUUCACCUGUUGGCUAUUUUUGCUAACAGCAACACUUCAGUGUUACAUUACACCUGAAUUCCACUCAAACAAACAAAGAAAAACACCGAUUUGAUUAUCCAAAGACAAUCAGAUCGACCUUGUGCUAAGAUCUUAGCCACCAUUUUCUACCACUCAUGCUAACUGGUGGUUAGCAGAGGGUUACUAGCUUCCAGACUAGCUGCUAGUUUGCAGGCUCGGGUGUAAUCCUCUGCCCUUCUAUUAUACAAGAACCACAAAAGCAAGUGCAUAUAGUGUAAAUUACAAAACAAAGCCAGUGAGAUAUGCUAAACGAUAAAUGACAGAUUCUGAACAGGAUUAUAAGAAAAAUUGUAGAUAUUCCUAGCAAGAGCAAGUUUUCUGAGGAAGUGAGGAAGAGUGAGAAAGAGUGAAGGACGGUUUAAGGUCAUCGUGAUUGAGAAAAGGGAAAUCCUUUUCCUCAGAUGACGCAGAUCGUAGAUCCUAAUGCUAACGACCAUGUCCCUGAACACACACCUUCCUGCCAAAACAGGAAGUGAACUUUCACCUGCCUAGAAAAUUUCUGUGCAUAAUACAAAUCACUCUCCUUAAAGCUAAUUAAUGUUUGCUAGCAUGCUUGCUAAACGUAACCACAGAAACAACUUCUGAAUAAAUUUGGUAGAUUUAUUCCACAGUAUUCGUGACGCUUUUGUCUGCCACGUUUUUUUUGUUUGUUUGUUUGUUUUUGUAUUAUGGGAUAGCAUUCGCAGAAGAAGUGUUAAAAACGAUUAACUGAAACCUUCACUGUUAACAUUCUAGUAUUUUAGCAGUUUUAUAUCAAAAGACAGACACACAUCCAGUCAGAAUAGUAUGUGUGUGUGUGUGUGUGUGUGUGUGUGUGUGUAAAAUGUUGGACAGAUAGAUGAUAGUAAUGUCGGCAGAAUAAAAGGAAAACAGCAUGUGUGUAUAUGGUUGCUGUAAUAAAUAACUACACACCCACACACACCCACACACACGCACACAGAGAUCAAAGUUCAAGGCUAUGAGUUAAAUUAGUUUAGACCAGGCACUGCUUACACACACAUUCAAUAUACGGUAUAAGACCAAGUCAUAAAAGCUCAAUCACAUUUUAUCCAGAGGAAUGGAAAUACACACACGCACCCACACACACACACACACAAUUAAAAAAUUCUCAAUGUAUAUUCUCAGAAAUAUUUUUUUAAAAUAUAGAAUCAUGCAUAUAUCAACAAUAUUAAUCAUGAAGUAACAAAAAAUCUGUUGAAUCUGGGUGCCAAAACUUUUGGUAUUGGUGGACAGAAGGAGAAAAAAAUAACUGUCAUUAUGAAAUAAAACUUGCUUGAUCGCUUAAUAGGUGAACAUUAAAGUUACCCAAUUUUCAUAAAAGACAUUUUUAUUUUUUAACAAUUUUGCUUAAAUCUGAAAGAAAUUUCAGACUUUUUCAGGGAUUUUGUUGCAUUCUUUUAAGAAAUAUCUGAAUAAUCUGAGUUAGUGCUGUCGCAUCAUUUAAAAAAGCCAAUCAGAGUCCAAAAUUAAAAUAUGCACCAAAUACAGUCUCUGAAACAUCAGCUUACCAGGAAAAGGGAUGGGGCUUGGAAUGUUAAGGGAGGGGCCCUGAUUUGCAUAUUCAUAAAAUCUGUAAAGGUAAAACUGUAGCUGCUUCAGUGUGUUUUUUCUGUCAAAUCUCUCUCUCUCUCUCUCUCUCUCUCUCUCUCUCUCUCACACACACACACCCACACACACACAUACACUUUCUGUGCCCACUGUACAAUAUUACCCAGGAUGCACUGCAGGAGGCCUACCAGGAGACAGAUGGAGCAUCAAGUGCAGUGAACAGCAACAUAUGAGCUCGAUUUGCUCAAUUACACCUCGUUACACACACACAUACACACACACAUCUCAGACAGUAAAUCAUCUCCAUCUGUCCAUGACAUCAUCAUGAGUUCAAAACAAAAAGACAGAUAUGAAUCACACAAAGAGCAGAGUGAAGAAGAGGGUGUGGCCUGUGUGUCUGGCAGUCACAGUGAAGGAGGCGUGGCCUGUGUGUCUGGCAAUGAAAUGCUAAUUAAUCUGAUGAGUGAGAACAGCAAUAUGACACACACACAUCCUGACUGAUAGAUCCAAUAUGCCUUUGAGUGUGUGUUUAUGUGUGUGUGUGUGUGUGUGUGUGUGUGUGUGUGUGUGUGCGCAAACAAAUUGACUCAGACAUAAUCAGAAACUCAGGGCAAGAUCGUAUUAAGACCGUUAAUUAAUGACCCAAAACUUCACACUCCAACAAGAAGAGACAAGCUAAUGUGUGUGUUUGUUUGUGUGUUUGCUUGUGUGUGUGUGUGUGUUCGUGUGUGUGUGUGUGUAUGUGUGUCUUUCAUGUGAAAAGAUAGAAACACCCUUCAGUGUAAAUGUCUGUCUAUAUUGGAUCUCUGGCAGCUCAAUAAUAUUACACAAAUAGAUAGAGAACAGACACGCACACACGCACAAACACACACACACACACACACACACACACACACACACACACACACACUGCAUGAAUGGCUUUUGUGUCCUGACAACAAAGACAUUGGCUGAGACAGAAAAAAACGAUCAUUUCUUUCUCUGAAAGACUGAAAUCACAAUGAUGGACAUUCUGGCUCACACACACACACACACACACACACACACACACACACACACAAAGUUAGAAUAAUCAAAGGAAUAAAGAAAAACAAAACAAAAAGAGAACCAUGUGACUCUCAGACAACACCUGGGAGAGUAAGGUGGUUUUGUGGUCUGGCGUGUUGAAUGAAUUAUUGAGUUGCUGUGAGGUGUUUAGACCACCUUAAACACACAUACAACACACAUCUAAUCUACACAUCUGAAACAAAACCACUAACACUGCUGCUAGAGGGAAAAUCCAGCUGUUUGCAUCUGUGUGUGUGUGUGUGUGUGUGUGUGUGUGUGUGUGUUUGUGUGAGGAAAACAGCUCAUCCUCACAGCUGCUGUCUCAAUUUUGCACAACAGUGUGUUCCUGAAACUCUUUGCACAGUUCUGCUCUCUCUCUCUCACACACACACACACACACACACACACACACACACACACACACACACAAAUAUUAACGCAAACACUGACUCAAUAAAAUACACUAAUCAUAACACUCAUACAAUUACAUACACACAAAUACAAUGCUAAAAACUGUAAUACACAUACACAUCAGUACACAGUAACACAAUAAUACACACUGUGAUAUAUACUGUAUCAUACAUACACACACACACACACAUACACAGAGAGUACCCUGUGAAUAGUGUUAUUGAGCUGUAUAGCGCAGGAAUGGUGCACACCCUGGUGGUCAGUGGUGGUAGUAACACACACAGUAAGUGUUUAACACACUGAGUGUUCAGGUUUUUCUGUCUGUCCAGGACAGUGAUUAAACAUUUUACACAACAUUUAUUAAACAAUUAAUUCAGUAAUAAUAAUAAAAAACAAUCCUUAGGGAAAAAAAGCACCAAAGUGUCCCAUGCUUAAAGUGUCCCAUCACCAAUCUGCCCCGACCCCUAUCUGCCCUACCCCCAAACUGCCCCACGCCAAAUCUGCCCCAUAGUCAACAUGUCCUGAUCGCAGAUGAAUUGGAAAAAUGUGAUGGAUGUCACUAACCUCAUCUACCUGCUGCACAUUCAGCUUUCACACAUUUCUACAAUUUAUAUUCAGCUUCAUUCCAUAUUGUGUAAACAUUUACUGAAUGUUUAAACAUUUCAACCUAACAGAAAAGAAGAGGACAAAGAAAGAAAGAAAGAAAGAAAGAAAAACUACCGUUCUGGUCUCUCUGCCUCAGAGAUUAGGAGAUUUGGUACUGUACUCAGUCUCCAUAGUAACUGCGAUGUGUUUGGGGUGCGCACACACACACACACACACACACACACUCCUGAACAGCUGGAGGCAAACCGGUACCUCAGGAGGCUCCAUUGCCAGAGUUUUUGUCUGAAUUGUGGCUGUUUUUAUUUUUCAUAUGAACAGAGACGUAAAGUUCUCAAUCCUGCACUCAUCUUCAUGUAGAAAUGUGUGUGAUUAUAACAGCUUUAUUAUUAUUAUCUUUCUAACAAGAUAAAUAAAUAUUGUGUCAAUAUAUAAAUGUAUAAUAUAAACGUAAAUAUUAUGUAAAUAGAUGAAAAUGUGUUUAUGUGUUCAUUCACUCCUCUGUUCAUGAUCUGUGUUAUCCAGGUCGGAGUCAGAGUCGGAGUCAGAGUCAGAGCAGAGUCAGAGUGGAGACAGAGUCGGAGUGGAAUCAGAGUGGACUCAGAGUCAGAGGGGAGACAGAGUCGGAGUGGAGUCAGAGUGGAGACAGAGACAGAGUCAGAGUGGAGUCAGAGUCGGAGUGGGGUUGGAGUCAGAGAGGAAUCAGAGUCAGAGUGGAGUUGGAGUCAGAGUGGAGUUGGAGUCAGAGUGGAGUUGGAGUCAGAGUGGAGUCAGAGUCAGAGUGGAGUCAGAGUCAGAGUGAAGACAGAGUCAGAGUCGGAGUGGAGUCAGAGUCGGAGUGGAGUCAGAGUCAGAGUGGAGUCGGAGUGGAGUCGGAGUCAGAGUGGAGACAGAGUCAGAACGGAGACAGAGUCAGAGUGGAGUCAGAGUGGAGUCAGAGUCGGAGUGGAGUCAGAGACAGAGUGGAGACAGAGUCAGAGUGGAGACAGAGUCAGAGUGGAGUCAGAGUCGGAGUGGAGUCGGAGUCAGAGUGGAAUCAGAGUCAGAGUCAGAGUGGAGACAGAGUCAGAGUGGAAUCAGAGUCAGAGUGGAGACAGAGUGGAGUCAGAGUCGGAGUGGAGUCAGAGGAAAAGUGGAGUUGGAGUCAGAGUGGAAUCAGAGUCAGAGUGGAGUUGGAGUCAGAGUGGAAUCAGAGUCAGAGUGGAGUUGGAGUCAGAGUGGAAUCAGAGUCAGAGUGGAGUCAGAGUGGAGACAGAGUGGAGUCAAAGUCAGAGUGGAGACAGAGUGGAGUCAGAGUCAGAGUGGAGUCAGAGUCUUAGUGGAGUUGGAGUCAGAGUGGAAUCAGAGUCGGAGUCGGAGUGGAGUUGGAGUUAGAGUGGAAUCAGAGUCAGAGUCUUAGUGGAGUUGGAGUCAGAGUGGAAUCAGAGUCGGAGACGGAGUCAGAGUGGAGUCAGAGUCAGAGUGGAGUCAGAGUCAGAGUGAAAUCAGAGUCAGAGUCGGAGUGGAGUUGGAGACAGUGUGGAGUCAGAGUGGAGACAGAGUCAGAGUGGAGUCAGAGUGGAGUCAGAAUCAGAGUGUAGUCAGAGUGGAGACAGAGUUGAGUCGGAGCAGAGUCAGAGUCGGCGCGGAGUCAGAGUCGGAGAGGAGUUGGAGUGGAGUCAGAGUCAGAGUCGGAAUGGAGUUGGAGUCAGAGUGGAGUCAGUGUGGAUUAAGAGACGGAGUGGAGUUGGAGUCAGAGUGGAAUUAGAGUCAGAGUCAGAGUGGAGAUGGAGUCAGAGUGGAGACAGAGUCGGAGUGGAGUCAGAGUCAGAGUGAAGACAGAGACAGAGUCAGAGUGGAAUCAGAGUCAGAGUCAGAAUGGAGUUGGAGUCAGAGUGGAAUCAGAGUCAGAGUGGAGUCAGAGUCAGAGUGGAGUUGGAGUCAGAGUGGAAUCAGAGUCAGAGUCAGACUGGAGUCAGAGUCAGAGUGGAGACAGAGUCAGAGUGGAGACAGAGUCAGAGUGGAGUCAGAGUGGAGUUGGAGUCAGAGUGGAAUCAGAGUCAGAGUCAGACUGGAGUCAGAGUCAGAGUGGAGUCAGAGUGGAGUCGGAGUCAGUGUGGAGACAGAGUCAGAGUGGAGACAGAGUGGAGUUGGAGUCAGAGUGGAAGUGGAGACAGAGUGGAGUCAGAGUCAGAGUGGAGACAGAGUGGAGUCAGAGUCAGAGUGGAGUCAGAGUCUUAGUGGAAGUCGGAAUGGAGUUGGAGUCAGAGUCGAGUCAGAGUGGAGUCAGAGUUAGAGUGGAGACAGAGUCAAGUCAGAGUCGGAGCGGAGUCAGAGUCAGAGUCGGCUCAGAGUCGGAGUGGAGUCGGAGUCAGAGUGGAGUCAGAGUCGGAAUGGAGUUGGAGUCAGAGUGGAGUCAGUGACGGACUCAAGAGUUAGUGUGGAGUCAGAGUUGGAGUGGAGACGGAGUCGGAGUGGAGUUGGAGUCAGAGUGGAAUCAGAGUCAGAGUCGGAGUGGAGUUGGAGUCAGAGUGGAAUCAGAGUCAAGAUCGGAGUGGAGUUCGAGUCAGAGUGGAAUCAGAGUCAGAGUCAGAGUGGAGUUGGAAUCAAGAGUGGAGUCAGAGUCAGAGUGGAGACAGAGUCAGAGUGAAGACAGAGUCAGAGUGGAGUCAGAGUCAGAGUGAAAUCAGAGUCAGAGUUGGAGUGGAGUUGGAGACAGAGUGGAGUCAGAGUCAGAGUGGAGUCAGAGUGGAGUCAGAAUCAGAGUGUAGUCAGAGUCGAGUCAGGGUGGAGUCAGAGUCAGAGCGGAGUCAGAGUCAGAGUCGGCUCAGAGUCGGAGUGGAGUCGGAGUCAGAGUGGAGUCAGAGUCGGAAUGGAGUUGGAGUCAGAGUGGAGUCAGUGUGGAGUAAGAGACGGAGUGGAGUUGGAGUCAGAGUGGAAGUGGAGUCAGAGUCGGAGUGGAGUCAGAGUCAGAGUGGAGACAGAGACAGAGUCAGAGUGGAGUCAGAGUCGGAGUGGAGUUGCAGUCAGAGUGGAAUCAGAGUCAGAGUCAGAAUGGAGUUGGAGUCAGAGUGGAAUCAGAGUCAGAGUCGGAGUGGAGUUGGAGUCAGAGUGGAGUCAGAAUCAAAGUGGAGUCAGAGUGGAGUCAGAAUCAGAGUGGAGUCAGAGUGGAGACAGAGUCGAGUGGGAGUCGGAGCGGAGUCAGAGUCGGGGCGGAGUCAGAGUCAGAGUGGAAUCAGAGUCAGAGUCGGAGUGGAGUUGGAGUCAGAGUGGAGUCAGAGUGGAAUCAGAGUUGGAAUCAGAGUCAGAGUCAGAGUGGAGUCAGACUCAGAGUGGAGUUGGAGUCAGAGUGGAAUCAGAGUCAGAGUCAGAGUGGAGACAGAGUCAGAGUGGAGUCAGAGUCAAAGUGGAGACAGAGUCGGAGUGGAGCCAGAGUGGAGUCAGAGUCAGAAUGAAGACAGAGACAGAGUCAGAGCGGAGUCAGAGUCGGAGUGGAGUUGGAGUGGAGUCAGAGUGGAGUCAGAGUCAGAGUGGAGUCGGAAUGGAGUUGGAGUCAGAGUGGAGUCAGAGUCGGAGUGGAGUCGGAGUCAGAGUGGUGUAAUUAGUAAUUUAUAUUUUGGGAAACAGACCCAAGUAAAUUAGUGAGAAAUAAUGGUCAUGAGAAACAAACAUAAAUAAUAACUGCUGCAACUGAUAAAAAAUCCAGUCCUGUGUGUCUCCAGCUCGAUGUGUUGAUUUUACAUUCUAUACACUAAUAAUAAACACUUUGUCCAGUUACAUAUGCAUGUGUUUUUGUGUAUGUGUAUGUGUAUGUGUGUGAGUCAGUGUUUAAAGACCAUUCUGAAUUAAACAGAAGAGACCGAGUGUGUUCUAGCGGUUUCUCUAGUGAGAAACUGUAUAUUUGUGAUAAGUGGAACAUCCAAGACAACAGCAGCGCGUCGAUAAAAACUUCACAGAGGAGACAGAGCUGAAGACAAACGUCCUCAGAGAGACAGUGUGUGUGUGUGUGUGUGUGUUGGAGAUCAAAGGUGUGGUGCAUCAUCCAGUUCAUAACGACUCAUCACACACUCGUCAGUGGCGUUAAAGUCAAUAACGAUAAUAAAUCUCAUUUUACACUUUACUCUGUGCUGUUUUCACAACCCACCAUGCUUUGCUUUCCUGAGCAGUAAAGAAGUGGCUGGAGUCAAGCGCCCCCUGGAGGUGUGUCUAUAACAUGACUGACAGCACGGACCUGUUUUUUUUUCUUUUUCUUUGACCUUUUUUUCUUCUUUCACUUGCUUUGGAUUCUACGUUUUUAACAGAUGUUUCUUUGUCAUCACCGAUAUUUAUUUAUUUGUAGUGGUAAGAACAAUUAAAAAAAAAAAAAUCCUCACUGCACCUUUCAGGUCGGACCAUUAUUCCAAACUAGAGACUUUUCUUUCAUUACUACUGAAUCUACUCGUUCUGGAAGCCAUAAUAAGAAACACGGGCCUGUAAUUCUUUUCUGUACACGCUGCACAGCUAACUCCUGAAACAAGAACACAUUGUUAUGCUAAUGACAGCGUUAGCUGCAGUGAGCUUAACACUAACACACACACAGAGUGUUUGAUCCCGUGUAACGAGCUGAAAUUUGUGUGUGUACCUGUGUAUCCAGCAUCAUCAUCAUCACCACCAUCCACAGCUCAUAUCUCCUUCUUCCUCCUCCUCCUCCUCUUGGUCAGUUCUCACGGUCUCGUAGGGUUUCAAUCCAACCCGUCCUCCAGCAGCACUCGGGAAAGCACGCACGCUCUCUGGAACGCACUCCGGAGUGUAACUAGGGGUCAUCAGAGGUCAUCCACUACAAACACAUCCAGCACAGUGAAUGUCCGAGGGGGAGAAAGUGCAAAAAUCCAGCACUGUUUAUUUCACCACCACCACCACCACCCCACCCCCCCUUUAACC
Long non-coding RNA from Ictalurus punctatus (channel catfish), 9767 nucleotides. Lineage: Eukaryota; Metazoa; Chordata; Actinopteri; Siluriformes; Ictaluridae. The record is from Ensembl.